RNAcentral lists this ribosomal RNA (834 nucleotides) under Triticum aestivum (bread wheat). Its description in RNAcentral is "partial small subunit ribosomal RNA". Lineage: Eukaryota; Viridiplantae; Streptophyta; Magnoliopsida; Poales; Poaceae. The record is from RNAcentral.
AUGUGGCUCACUGCUUUGUACAAGUUUGCCUCUGUCAGCCCUUUACUCCCAAUGAUGCCGCUAGUCUUGGCUAUUGCCAUAUGUGAGCACAAUAGAAACAGAUUCAGAUUUAAUUUAGAUUUUGAGAAGCAAGAUUUUAUGGCUAGCCGCAUGUACGUACAAAUGAGAGCUCCUAUGCAGCGCUACCGAUCUGGCGCUCACGCCCCCAGUGCUGCGCAGGCCCAUCUACUGUUCACCCUCGCAAUGACGAAUCUUCCUGUACAUGUGGAGAUGGACUCUUUGCAAGCUGUAAGGAUGAUAAAUGAUGUGGCCAUUGAUAGAUCAGUCUUUACCUCGCUGGUGGAGGAAAUCAAGCUUCUUAGCAAUCUCCGUACAACUAUUUUUCCUCAUGUUCAUCGUAGCCAAAAUAAUGUUAGUGAUUAUUCGGCAAAAUUUGCUAGAACUGAGAGUAGAACCAUCGUUUGGCUUAACUCUGGCUUGUUAGAGAUACUUUGGGAUGGCGAUAUGGCAAGUGACCCGGCAAUGCAUCCAUGUGCCAAAGCCUGCAGCUCAAGAUUUUCAGUUGGGAUCCGUCCUGUGUGCGUGCGUGUCCUCUUCCCACGUGAUCGCGACAGGCGGAGUAUCCUCCGGCUGACUCACGCCGAUCUUAUCCCAACCGCCGCGCGACCGUGCCGGCCCCGCAGCCAGCAGAUUCAUCCAUCCAAUCCAACGCACGUCGCCAAACAGCAGCACCCAGCCGGCCCCCGGUUCCCGAUCUCAUCCCCCAUAAAUAAGCCCACCAAGGAAGCAAAUCGAAGCGCAUCGCAUCCGUUUCUCUCGUUGCUAGGUGGCUAG